ACCGCUACAACACGGGUUAAAAUUUUAAUUUGUCUUACGAGAGAAGUGGUGCUACAGUAGAAAAUAUCAAAUUGGAUUCUCAAUCUAUCCCUCAAUUUCACCCAUUUAUCAGUUCCAAACACAAUUAAUCAUCACAAAUCAAAGAUUACUCAUCAAAACCUAACAAUUUGAAGAACUAUAAAAAUUAGGGAUUUCAACCUAAAC
Molecule: long non-coding RNA, 204 nt
Filed under: Lathyrus oleraceus (garden pea)
Lineage: Eukaryota; Viridiplantae; Streptophyta; Magnoliopsida; Fabales; Fabaceae
Description: Pisum sativum (pea) long non-coding RNA (PSAT_LNC019642)
Source: RNAcentral